This 172-nucleotide ribosomal RNA is filed under the name Shigella boydii. Its description in RNAcentral is "partial 16S ribosomal RNA". It matches the Rfam family "Bacterial small subunit ribosomal RNA", at positions 296 to 467 of the family's 1533-position model. The record is from RNAcentral. Lineage: Bacteria; Pseudomonadati; Pseudomonadota; Gammaproteobacteria; Enterobacterales; Enterobacteriaceae.
GAGGAGGUCCAGCCACACUGGAACUGAGACACGGUCCAGACUCCUACGGGAGGCAGCAGUGGGGAAUAUUGCACAAUGGGCGCAAGCCUGAUGCAGCCAUGCCGCGUGUAUGAAGAAGGCCUUCGGGUUGUAAAGUACUUUCAGCGGGGAGGAAGGGAGUAAAGUUAAUACC